UACAGAGGUCUCAAGCGUUGUUCGGAUUCAUUGGGCGUAAAGGGUGCGUAGGUGGUGGUUCAAGUUGGAUGUGAAAGCCCCGGGCUUAACCUGGGAAGGUCAUCCAAGACUGAGCGACUAGAGUAUAGUAGAGGGAAGUGGAAUUUCCGGUGUAGCGGUGAAAUGCGUAGAUAUCGGAAGGAACACCAGUGGCGAAGGCGACUUCCUGGACUAAUACUGACACUGAGGUGCGAAAGCGUGGGGAGCAAACAGG
This 253-nucleotide ribosomal RNA is filed under the name uncultured bacterium. RNAcentral describes it as "partial 16S ribosomal RNA". It matches the Rfam family "Bacterial small subunit ribosomal RNA", at positions 524 to 776 of the family's 1533-position model. The record is from RNAcentral.